RNAcentral lists this ribosomal RNA (1372 nucleotides) under uncultured bacterium. RNAcentral's name for it is "bacterial SSU rRNA". It matches the Rfam family "Bacterial small subunit ribosomal RNA", at positions 28 to 1381 of the family's 1533-position model. The record is from RNAcentral.
GAUGAACGCUGGCGGCGUGCCUAAUACAUGCAAGUCGAGCGAACGGACGAGAAGCUUGCUUCUCUGAUGUUAGCGGCGGACGGGUGAGUAACACGUGGAUAACCUACCUAUAAGACUGGGAUAACUUCGGGAAACCGGAGCUAAUACCGGAUAAUAUUUUGAACCGCAUGGUUCAAAAGUGAAAGACGGUCUUGCUGUCACUUAUAGAUGGAUCCGCGCUGCAUUAGCUAGUUGGUAGGGUAACGGCUUACCAAGGCAACGAUGCAUAGCCGACCUGAGAGGGUGAUCGGCCACACUGGAACUGAGACACGGUCCAGACUCCUACGGGAGGCAGCAGUAGGGAAUCUUCCGCAAUGGGCGAAAGCCUGACGGAGCAACGCCGCGUGAGUGAUGAAGGUCUUCGGAUCGUAAAACUCUGUUAUUAGGGAAGAACAUAUGUGUAAGUAACUGUGCACAUCUUGACGGUACCUAAUCAGAAAGCCACGGCUAACUACGUGCCAGCAGCCGCGGUAAUACGUAGGUGGCAAGCGUUAUCCGGAAUUAUUGGGCGUAAAGCGCGCGUAGGCGGUUUUUUAAGUCUGAUGUGAAAGCCCACGGCUCAACCGUGGAGGGUCAUUGGAAACUGGAAAACUUGAGUGCAGAAGAGGAAAGUGGAAUUCCAUGUGUAGCGGUGAAAUGCGCAGAGAUAUGGAGGAACACCAGUGGCGAAGGCGACUUUCUGGUCUGUAACUGACGCUGAUGUGCGAAAGCGUGGGGAUCAAACAGGAUUAGAUACCCUGGUAGUCCACGCCGUAAACGAUGAGUGCUAAGUGUUAGGGGGUUUCCGCCCCUUAGUGCUGCAGCUAACGCAUUAAGCACUCCGCCUGGGGAGUACGACCGCAAGGUUGAAACUCAAAGGAAUUGACGGGGACCCGCACAAGCGGUGGAGCAUGUGGUUUAAUUCGAAGCAACGCGAAGAACCUUACCAAAUCUUGACAUCCUUUGACAACUCUAGAGAUAGAGCUUUCCCCUUCGGGGGACAAAGUGACAGGUGGUGCAUGGUUGUCGUCAGCUCGUGUCGUGAGAUGUUGGGUUAAGUCCCGCAACGAGCGCAACCCUUAAGCUUAGUUGCCAUCAUUAAGUUGGGCACUCUAAGUUGACUGCCGGUGACAAACCGGAGGAAGGUGGGGAUGACGUCAAAUCAUCAUGCCCCUUAUGAUUUGGGCUACACACGUGCUACAAUGGACAAUACAAAGGGCAGCGAAACCGCGAGGUCAAGCAAAUCCCAUAAAGUUGUUCUCAGUUCGGAUUGUAGUCUGCAACUCGACUACAUGAAGCUGGAAUCGCUAGUAAUCGUAGAUCAGCAUGCUACGGUGAAUACGUUCCCGGGUCU